UGGAACCGCAGGUCCUAAAGGGACAGCUCCUGGGGAUGCAAGAUGUUCUACCGCAGGGAUAAUAACAGUAAAUAGGCCAAAGAAGGAGAAUGGGGAUUUCCUCCCAAAAGUGAUGCUAGCAGAAAACAGGGUCUUGAGAAGAGUCUCAGAAUGGACAGGCUUGAAGUCACUAUGGAGCUGUACUUUGUACUUUGGUUGUCUCGACUCCGUCUCCCUCGUGCUGGGAUUACAGAACACUCAGCUUCCGGCGAGAGUUGGAGAGGAAGCGCUCUCAGACCAUCACGGGUGUGCCUGGAUGCAGGUGCAGUCUCCCAUCCUGAACAGUUCUUAACCUGGGGAUGAAGGACCGCCUACUUAUUUAUUGAAAGUACACAUUCUUUUUUCAAAGAUUUAUUUAUUAUAUGUAAGUACAGUGUAGCUGUCUUCAGAUGCUCCAGAAGAGGGCAUCAGAUCUCAUUAUGGGUGGUUGUGAGCCACCAUGUGGUUGCUGGAAUUUGAACUCAGAACCU
RNAcentral lists this long non-coding RNA (509 nucleotides) under Mus musculus (house mouse). Its description in RNAcentral is "predicted gene 29443 (Gm29443)". Lineage: Eukaryota; Metazoa; Chordata; Mammalia; Rodentia; Muridae. The record is from RNAcentral.